Long non-coding RNA from Bacillus rossius redtenbacheri, 592 nucleotides. RefSeq lists it as uncharacterized. The transcript has 3 exons. Lineage: Eukaryota; Metazoa; Arthropoda; Insecta; Phasmatodea; Bacillidae. The record is from RefSeq and is a predicted model, not a curated record.
CAAUGCUAGACAUGAGUUCACUAAGAAACUUAUCAAUCAAACCUAUUUCUACCAUCAGCGAAGCAACUGAACUAAUUUCCUCGAGGAAUGGAAAAUUGGCUCUGGUUGGAACUACGAAUAAGAUGUUUAUGGCCGGACGCGGCGGACAGAUAACGGGCAGGCGGGCAGCUGCGGGACUGCUAGUGACGUCACCCACCCUCGGCCGGCUGGCUACACAGCCGAGGCAACCUCCCUCUACCAACCUUGACAUCCGACCACAAGCCAAGAGGUAAUGGGCGGCAUUCGACGGUGUGGAACUCUUCGCGAGCUGAGCUCCUGGUUCGAUGCCACCGACAGGCGUUGAUGACGGUGUCACUGACUGUGCUGUCCGCAUCAGCAGCUGAUCUGCACCGAUGUCGCCUCCGUAAACCACCUCACUGGCGCUGAGCGGCCACAUGGGCAGCCCCGGUUCGCGCGUCACGUCGCUAUUCAAGGCUAGACAUUAAUUUACUAACAAACUUAUCAAUCAAACCUAUUUCCACCAUCAGCGAAGCAACUGAACUAAUUUCCUCGAGGAAUGGAAAAUUGGCUCUGGUUGGAACUACUAAUAAGA